UACGAAGGGAGCUAGCGUUGUUCGGAAUUACUGGGCGUAAAGGGCGCGUAGGCGGUUUUAUAAGUCAGAUGUGAAAGCCCCGGGCUUAACCUGGGAGGUGCAUUUGAAACUGUAAGGCUUGAGAUCGAGAGAGGAAAGUGGAAUUACGAGUGUAGAGGUGAAAUUCGUAGAUAUUCGUAAGAACACCAGUGGCGAAGGCGGCUUUCUGGCUCGAACCUGACGCUAAGGCGCGAAAGCGUGGGGAGCAAACAGG
This 253-nucleotide ribosomal RNA is filed under the name uncultured bacterium. RNAcentral's name for it is "partial 16S ribosomal RNA". It matches the Rfam family "Bacterial small subunit ribosomal RNA", at positions 524 to 776 of the family's 1533-position model. The record is from RNAcentral.